CGCCCGUAGCUCAGUUGGAUAGAGUGUCGGCCUCCGAAGCCGAAGCUUGAGCGUGUACGUUUUUCCGUGAGCCUUAAGAAAGCAAUUCGCUUUCAAUGGGUUACCA
RNAcentral lists this transfer RNA (106 nucleotides) under Gammaproteobacteria bacterium. RNAcentral describes it as "tRNA-Arg". The record is from RNAcentral. Lineage: Bacteria; Pseudomonadati; Pseudomonadota; Gammaproteobacteria.